Molecule: ribosomal RNA, 78 nt
Filed under: Periophthalmus magnuspinnatus
Lineage: Eukaryota; Metazoa; Chordata; Actinopteri; Gobiiformes; Gobiidae
Source: RNAcentral
UCAGAGUACGAUAUGGUUCACAUGGCCUGGUUAGUACUUGGAUGGGAGACCACAAGGAAUACCAGGUGUCAGUAUGAU